Molecule: ribosomal RNA, 425 nt
Filed under: uncultured bacterium
Lineage: Bacteria
Description: partial 16S ribosomal RNA
Rfam family: Bacterial small subunit ribosomal RNA
Source: RNAcentral
GUUAGGAAUAUUGGACAAUGGGCGCAAGCCUGAUCCAGCCAUGCCGCGUGAGUGAUGAAGGCCUUCGGGUUGUAAAGCUCUUUAGUCCACGAAUAUAAUGACUGUAGUGGAAGAAUAAGCCCCGGCUAACUUCGUGCCAGCAGCCGCGGUAAUACGAAGGGGGCGAGCGUUAUUCGGAAUCACUGGGCGUAAAGCGUGAGUAGGCUGUUUUGUAAGUCAGAAGUGAAAGCCCAGGGCUUAACCCUGGAAUUGCUUUUGAAACUACAAGACUCGAAUUCGGGAGAGGAUAGCGGAAUUGUCAGUGUAGCAGUGAAAUGCGUAGAUAUUGACAGGAACACCAGUGGCGCAAGCGGCUAUCUGGACCGAUAUUGACGCUGAGGCACGAAAGCGUGGGGAGCAAACAGGAUUAGAAACCCGAGUAGUCC